UUAAGUUCAGCGGGUAUCCCUACCUGAUCCGAGGUCAAACCUUGAAUGUUUGGUGGUACGGGCAGGCGUCGGUCCGCGCCGCGAGCGUGUGACGAAAAGUCCCCAUACGCUCUGGCUGAUCGGAUUACCGCGACGCCGCCACUGCCUUUCAGGCCCGUCUGCAGGGGAGCAGACGCGGUGGCCCAUCACACAAGCCGUGC
RNAcentral lists this unclassified non-coding RNA (200 nucleotides) under Onygenales sp. Its description in RNAcentral is "partial internal transcribed spacer 2". Lineage: Eukaryota; Fungi; Ascomycota; Eurotiomycetes; Onygenales. The record is from RNAcentral.